This 468-nucleotide ribosomal RNA is filed under the name uncultured bacterium. RNAcentral describes it as "partial 16S ribosomal RNA". It matches the Rfam family "Bacterial small subunit ribosomal RNA", at positions 28 to 507 of the family's 1533-position model. The record is from RNAcentral.
GACGAACGCUGGCGGCGUGCUUAACACAUGCAAGUCGAACGGAAAGGCCCUGCUUUUGUGGGGUGCUCGAGUGGCGAACGGGUGAGUAACACGUGAGUAACCUGCCCUUGACUUUGGGAUAACUUCAGGAAACUGGGGCUAAUACCGGAUAGGAGCUCCUGCUGCAUGGUGGGGGUUGGAAAGUUUCGGCGGUUGGGGAUGGACUCGCGGCUUAUCAGCUUGUUGGUGGGGUAGUGGCUUACCAAGGCUUUGACGGGUAGCCGGCCUGAGAGGGUGACCGGCGACAAUGGGACUGAGAUACGGCGCAGAAUCCUACGGGAGGCAGCAGUGGGGAAUAUGGCACAAUGGGCGGAAGCCUGAUGCAGCAGCGCCGCGUGCGGGAUGACGGCCUUCGGGUUGUAAACCGCUUUCGCCGGUGACGAAGCGUGAGUGACGGUAAUGGGUAAAGAAGCACCGGCUAACUACGUG